Molecule: long non-coding RNA, 830 nt
Organism: Bos taurus (domestic cattle)
Lineage: Eukaryota; Metazoa; Chordata; Mammalia; Artiodactyla; Bovidae
Source: Ensembl
ACUGGCAAGUCGCGGUAAGAGUGCAGGUGUGAGCAGUUAGCAGCUAAUAGAGCAGGUUGGGUUUUAGAAACACCGUUCUGAGAUUUGCCUAGAAGAGGAAUUGCCAAGGAUAUGCACAGCAUCUACAUUGGAAGAUACUACCUGGCUUUGCAAAACAGUUUUUACUGAUUUAUUUUUCUGCCAGCCCCAGGCCAGGUGGGUCCAGGUUGAUGAUGCCAACUCCACAUUGUCCCGCUCCUUGGUCGGCCUUUGCAAUAAACUUGCACUUUCCUUCACCACAGAGUGGUGUCAGUAGCUCGGCUUUACUGAGCAGGCAAUCACAUCACCUAUAAAUAACAAGAGGUUUGAGGUUUCCUUCUCAAGUUUGAUGCUUCUCAUUUUAAUUCUUUAUUAGUGCAGUUCAGUCGCUCAGUCAUAUCCGACUCUUUGCGACCCCAUGAAUUGCAGCACGCCAAGCCUCCCUGUCCAUCACCAACUCCUGGAGUUCACCCAAACCCAUGUCCAGCAACCUUUAGCUAUGUAAUAAUUCUGUCUCCCUGUCAAACAUUACAAGAUCUAUUAGCCUGCUUCCUACUACCAAGGAACGAUGCCUCCACCCCAUCUUUUUAUUGAGUUCACAGCUUCUAUUGUACUUUUAAAAAUUCAAAAUAAAUAGUGAUUUUUAUGUGUGCAUGUUUGUGUGUGUGCUGUUUUGUUUCUUCCUUCUGGGUUCAUUUUUCUUCUUGAGGUAAAUCAUUUAAUAGUCCCCGUUGUGAGGAUCAGUAAGUGGUAAAUACUCCAAGUUUCUGAAUGGUGAAAAUGACUUCUUUUUUGUCUUACAACUGAAAGGU